CCUACGGGGGGCAGCAGUGGGGAAUAUUGGACAAUGGGGGGAACCCUGAUCCAGCCAUGCCGCGUGUGUGAAGAAGGCCCUCGGGUUGUAAAGCACUUUCAGUGAGGAAGAACGCCUGGUGGUUAAUACCCAUCAGGAAAGACAUCACUCACAGAAGAAGCACCGGCUAACUCCGUGCCAGCAGCCGCGGUAAUACGGAAGGUGCGAGCGUUAAUCGGAAUUACUGGGCGUAAAGCGCGCGUAGGUGGCUUGAUAAGCCGGUUGUGAAAGCCCCGGGCUCAACCUGGGAACGGCAUCCGGAACUGUCAAGCUAGAGUGCAGGAGAGGAAGGUAGAAUUCCCGGUGUAGCGGUGAAAUGCGUAGAGAUCGGGAGGAAUACCAGUGGCGAAGGCGGCCUUCUGGACUGACACUGACACUGAGGUGCGAAAGCGUGGGUAGCAAACAGGAUUAGAUACCCUGGUAGUC
This 465-nucleotide ribosomal RNA is filed under the name Vreelandella stevensii. Its description in RNAcentral is "partial 16S ribosomal RNA". It matches the Rfam family "Bacterial small subunit ribosomal RNA", at positions 338 to 795 of the family's 1533-position model. Lineage: Bacteria; Pseudomonadati; Pseudomonadota; Gammaproteobacteria; Oceanospirillales; Halomonadaceae. The record is from RNAcentral.